RNAcentral lists this ribosomal RNA (264 nucleotides) under uncultured bacterium. RNAcentral's name for it is "partial 16S ribosomal RNA". It matches the Rfam family "Bacterial small subunit ribosomal RNA", at positions 91 to 354 of the family's 1533-position model. The record is from RNAcentral.
CUUAGUGGCGGACGGGUGAGUAACGCGUGGGUAACCUGCCCCAUACCGGGGGAGUACCACCUGGAAACAGGUGCUAAUACCGCAUAAGCGCACGGGAGCGCAUGCUCCUGUGUGAAAAACUCCGGUGGUAUGGGAUGGACCCGCGUCUGAUUAGCCAGUUGGCAGGGUAACGGCCUACCAAAGCGACGAUCAGUAGCCGGCCUGAGAGGGUGGACGGCCACAUUGGGACUGAGACACGGCCCAAACUCCUACGGGAGGCAGCAG